AUUGAACGCUGGCGGCAGGCCUAACACAUGCAAGUCGAACGGUAGCACAGAGAGCUUGCUCUCGGGUGACGAGUGGCGGACGGGUGAGUAACGUCUGGGAAACUGCCCGAUGGAGGGGGAUAACUACUGGAAACGGUAGCUAAUACCGCAUAACGUCGCAAGACCAAAGUGGGGGACCUUCGGGCCUCACACCAUCGGAUGUGCCCAGAUGGGAUUAGCUAGUAGGUGGGGUAAUGGCUCACCUAGGCGACGAUCCCUAGCUGGUCUGAGAGGAUGACCACCCACACUGGAACUGAGACACGGCCCAGACUCCUACGGGAGGCAGCAGUGGGGAAUAUUGCACAAUGGGCGCAAGCCUGAUGCAGCCAUGCCGCGUGUAUGAAGAAGGCCUUCGGGUUGUAAAGUACUUUCAGCGGGGAGGAAGGCGGUGAAGUUAAUAGCUUCACCGAUUGACGUUACCCGCAGAAGAAGCACCGGCUAACUCCGUGCCAGCAGCCGCCGUAA
Molecule: ribosomal RNA, 504 nt
Filed under: uncultured bacterium
Lineage: Bacteria
Description: partial 16S ribosomal RNA
Rfam family: Bacterial small subunit ribosomal RNA
Source: RNAcentral